ACGAACUGCGCGAACGUUAUUCGGAAUCACUGGGCUUAAAGAGUUCGUAGGCGGCCUGGUAAGUCGGGUGUGAAAUCCCUCAGCUCAACUGAGGAAUUGCGCCCGAUACUGGUAGGCUUGAGGGGGAUAGAGGUGAGCGGAACUGAUGGUGGAGCGGUGAAAUGCGUUGAUAUCAUCAGGAACACCGGUGGCGAAAGCGGCUCACUGGAUCUCUUCUGACGCUGAGGAACGAAAGCUAGGGGAGCGAACGGG
Molecule: ribosomal RNA, 252 nt
Filed under: uncultured bacterium
Lineage: Bacteria
Description: partial 16S ribosomal RNA
Rfam family: Bacterial small subunit ribosomal RNA
Source: RNAcentral